RNAcentral lists this long non-coding RNA (204 nucleotides) under Homo sapiens (human). RNAcentral describes it as "non-protein coding CASC15:8". Lineage: Eukaryota; Metazoa; Chordata; Mammalia; Primates; Hominidae. The record is from RNAcentral.
CUGGAGUCCAGAGCUCUUUAGGAGGUGGAUUUCAGAUUGGACUUGGUGACUGAAUGGAGGUGGGGGUCUUGGGGAACUGACUCUUUUGCUAUCUGGAAACCCAUGUCCACCUCUGACUUCCACUCAAAAUUGCUUUCCUCACAGUCUGACUGCGAGAGUUGUGAAAAAUUGGGAUGUGCUUCUGAGGUGGGCUGUGGAAUGCCA